RNAcentral lists this long non-coding RNA (1347 nucleotides) under Nothobranchius furzeri (turquoise killifish). RNAcentral describes it as "lncRNA (ENSNFUG00015022049.1)". The record is from RNAcentral. Lineage: Eukaryota; Metazoa; Chordata; Actinopteri; Cyprinodontiformes; Nothobranchiidae.
AUGAGGCAAACGUUGAAGGAUCCAGCGGGGAGAUUCUCCCGUGGGAGUACCUGCUCCAGUGGCUCGCUCCAAGCCACCACCCGGCUUCUCCAGCUCCAGCUCCGCCUCGCCGCGGACGACGGCGCCGGCGUGCACCCUCGGCCUUCCUCUCCACCCUCCCAGCGCCUGAUGAGAGACCGGAUAGAGAGACGCGUUCGGAUCACUCCAGUUACGUGGGCACCCGUCUGGCUGUGUGCUACCCCGGCUUUGAUCCACGGCGUGGGGAGAGACGCCGGGCUCCCCCGCAGUCCUGUGUUCCGGGACGCAGCUGUGUGCCCGCCGCUGCCCCUGCUCUGCGCAGCAGUUUGGACAAGCCCUCGGCCAGACCAGCAGUUCCGUCUCCGAGCAGUUCCGGCUCCGACCCAAUCGGCGCCUCCGUCAUCUGCAGAGGGAGGAGCGUUGGCCGCAUCCCAGCUGACUGAGCUCGUCAGUCUCCAGGCGGAGCUUGGCCGGUUCCGCCAGCUCAUCAGCUUCCAGGAAUCCCGCCUGGACGCUCUAUCCUCCUCAUCUCAGGACCAGACGAGCGAGCCCGGUGUUCACCCAGUGGAGCUCGCCGAUCUCCGGGCUGAGCUGGCCCAGCUCCAUUGGACCCUCAGCCUUAAGGAGCGUCAGCUGGACGGUCUGUCCUCCCUGCUUUCACAGUUCUCAGCACCACCUACUCUGUCGCAGCCAGCUCCAGCAGUGGCCCCGGUGGACGCUCCGCAUCCAGUUCCAGCGGUGGUCCCGGAGGUCGCACCGCAUCUGGUCCAGCCUGGCCAGGCAGCUCCUCCUGCAGCAGCUCUGCCUCCAGCCCAGAAGCUGAUGAUACCGGUCCGGAAGCAUGCGGUCCCGGCCCAGAAGCAGAAGGUCCGGGCCCAGAAGCAGUCGGUUCUGACCCCGAAGCAGAUGGUUCCGGUUCCGGACCAGAGGUCGACAGUCCAGGGGUCAACGGCCCAGGGGUUGACGGUUCGGAAGUCGAUGGACCAGAAGUCGACGCCUCCGGACCAGGAAUCGAUGCCCCCAGAUCAGAAGUCGAUGGGGGUCGACGCCUCCUCCAGUUCAAGGGUCGACACCUCCUCCAGUUCAAGGGUCGACGCCUCCUCCAGGCCAGAAGUCGAAGCCCCCGGGCCAGAAGUCGAAGCCCCCGGGCCAGAAGUCGACGCCCCCUCCUGUUCUGAAGUCGACGCCCCCUCCUGUUCUGAAGUCGACGCCCCCUCCUGUUCUGAAGUCGACGCCCCCUCCUGUCCUGAAGUCGACGCCCGUUCCUGUCCUGAAGUCGACGCCCGUUCCUGUCCUGAAGUCGACGCCCGUUCCUGUCCUGAAGUCGAC